This 77-nucleotide transfer RNA is filed under the name Nitrosomonas sp. RNAcentral describes it as "tRNA-Asp". It matches the Rfam family "tRNA". From Rfam's summary of the family: Transfer RNA (tRNA) molecules are approximately 80 nucleotides in length. Their secondary structure includes four short double-helical elements and three loops (D, anti-codon, and T loops). The record is from RNAcentral. Lineage: Bacteria; Pseudomonadati; Pseudomonadota; Betaproteobacteria; Nitrosomonadales; Nitrosomonadaceae.
GGAGUGGUAGUUCAGUUGGUUAGAAUACCGGCCUGUCACGCCGGGGGUCGCGGGUUCGAGACCCGUCCACUCCGCCA